Molecule: ribosomal RNA, 468 nt
Filed under: uncultured bacterium
Lineage: Bacteria
Description: partial 16S ribosomal RNA
Rfam family: Bacterial small subunit ribosomal RNA
Source: RNAcentral
GACGAACGCUGGCGGCGUGCUUAACACAUGCAAGUCGAACGGAAAGGCCCUGCUUUUGUGGGGUGCUCGAGUGGCGAACGGGUGAGUAACACGUGAGUAACCUGCCCUUGACUUUGGGAUAACUUCAGGAAACUGGGGCUAAUACCGGAUAGGAGCUCCUGCUGCAUGGUGGGGGUGGGAAAGUUUCGGCGGUUGGGGAUGGACUCGCGGCUUAUCAGCUUGUUGGUGGGGUAGUGGCUUACCAAGGCUUUGACGGGUAGCCGGCCUGAGAGGGUGACCGGCCACAUUGGGACUGAGGUACGGCCCAGACUCCUACGGGGGGCAGCAGUGGGGAAUAUUGCACAAUGGGCGGAAGCCUGAUGCAGCAACGCCGCGUGCGGGAUGACGGCCUUCGGGUUGUAAACCGCUUUCGCCUGUGACGAAGCGUGAGUGACGGUAAUGGGUAAAGAAGCACCGGCUAACUACGUG